GAUAUUCUCAACAGAAAGGGUUAAAGGCUGAUGGUACCUAAAGCCUGGUACUUGAAUUUUGAUCAAGAUAAGCUGCCUUAAGUUCUCUUCAUUACACAAAUGAUCCUAGAUAAUUGAUAGAUCCUGUGGUUCACCUGGAUUUCUAGAUAGAAGCUGGAUUCAUGUGAUGCCAGAGGAGUAAAAUUUCAAGAGACUGAAACCAGAUCUGAGUUUCGCUGUUCCAGUCUGGACCUCUUUGGUGCUGUAAAUCCUGGAUAUACUGUAGAUGAGUACUGCGUUUUUCUUUUAUGCCGGAGCUGCGGCCCGCAACUCCCUCAGCCUGGCAGGUCCCAGGAUGCUUCGGGGCAACCCCACGCAUGCGCGCUCUGGCGUAGUUCCUGAAGCACUCGCUCGCAGAGAAUCCUGGAAUCUUCGCUUGUGGAGCUGUGGAGGCAACGGAGUUUUUCCGCGCUUUUUCUUUCAGCCUCAGAUUAAGUAUCAUUUAUUACUAUUAUUUUCUCUACUGAGCGUGGAAAGCUGGCUGAAAAUUCCAGAGUGUAAUUUCUGUGGGUCUGUUUCUCUAAAACUUGCCCCUCACGCAGCUUGUACAGAAGUUAGAUUGGCGCUUACUCCCAGCUGGUGGAAGAUUCGGGAUUAGCUGCGCCUCUGCUGCGUGAGAGAGGGCUUAG
RNAcentral lists this small RNA (668 nucleotides) under Pan troglodytes (chimpanzee). RNAcentral describes it as "processed transcript". The record is from RNAcentral. Lineage: Eukaryota; Metazoa; Chordata; Mammalia; Primates; Hominidae.